Molecule: long non-coding RNA, 613 nt
Organism: Oreochromis aureus
Lineage: Eukaryota; Metazoa; Chordata; Actinopteri; Cichliformes; Cichlidae
Source: Ensembl
UUGGAAUUGAGCAGUGCUGUCAGUUACUUUGCUGAACACAAGGUCCAAAAGAUGAAGUUCUGAUGGAGCUCCCUCAUCUGUCGCUCAUCGUGAUGAUAUGCAUUCCCAUUAUGGCUUCCAACCCAGUGCCAAAGAACCCUAUACAAGAGCUUAAAGAGGAAAUGAAGAAGAACUUGGAAGCAUCUCUCUGCGAACUAGAAAGGGCAACAAAUAAUUAUUGCAAAGACGCAGGUCUGCCACUCAACUCAACCAACACAGGGAAACUUAAAGGACAAACUUGGGGAAUGGGAAACGAAACUGAAAUCAAGAAGUCCAUCUGUGCCAUUGUGGACUGCCUCAAAAGCCUGCCAGCAUUCGUCAAGGAUGUAAUUGGGGACAACAAGGAUAAAAAAGUCACCAAGAACACAAAUGCGUUCCUUAAACGGUUCAGCUUGACUGUUGCGCAGACAGAUUUCGCUGGUGCCCCCCAGCAACAGUGCAGGACAGAUUUAAACACUUCAGACACUUACAAUAAGAAAACCACUAUCUUCGGUAUUUUAAAAAACAGCAUGAUAUGGGUGAAAAAUUUCACACAGAUGGAGCCGUCCUGUUAAUGUUUUCACUAACCUUUUAG